This is a long non-coding RNA of Gavialis gangeticus (Gharial), 2614 nucleotides long. RefSeq lists it as uncharacterized. The transcript is spliced from 2 exons. NCBI's taxonomy places the organism in Eukaryota, Metazoa, Chordata, Crocodylia, Gavialidae. The record is from RefSeq and is a predicted model, not a curated record.
AAAUAACAUGGGAGUGUGCCAGCCCAAGGCUCUGCCCUUUCUUUACAGGGGAGAAGGAAGGAAAGUCCAGCCGGCUGAGCUGGCUGCGCCAACAGAGUCGUAACGAUUCAAAACCUUCAGCGUUUGGAAAUGGGAACGUUUCCCUGCCUGCCUGAUUAGCCUGUCUGGAUCGCAGUAUGAGCCUUGUGGAGCCACCACUUGGCAUACAUCAAGUGAGGCACCCUGGAAGCCAAAGUGAUCUCCGUGGAAGAGUGUUUUCCCAUCGAAAAUAAUUCCACUGAUUGAAAAAACCAUUAAAAGUUAGCUGCUCCGUUCAUUAAAGAUUAACUUAUACUGUACUUAAGUCUGCACUUCAGAGCUGGUCACUAAUUGCACAGGAGAUGAUUUAUCAAGUGCACAGGAUUUUCUAUUACAAAAUUAUUGAUUAACGCUGAUGUGUUUUAACCACAAUAGACUCUAACUGGGAGCCUUGUGAAAUGACUGCAGCCGAGGUCAGUGCCUGGCAGCAGCAGCAAAUUAUUUCAAAUUUACUGAAAUUUUUGUAUGGCUCUGUCGGAGGCCCUGUCCCUCAAGGAUAAAGAAAAAUGCCUCCAACAAUAAAGUAAGAUAAACAGGUAUUGUGCGCGGUUUGAACGCCAGAAUGCAAUUACAGGCACGUGUGUUUGUAAUGGCUGCGAAAUUACCUGGGACCUACGUAGGGCUCGAGAACCCUUCGGAGAAAGGAUUCUGCUUUAAUUUAUUAGCAAUAAAAAUCCCAUGUCUUCAGGAGAAUAGGGGUAGAGCCCGUAGAAGGGAGAGGAGAAAGCUGUCCCUAACAAGGCCGAAUAAGACUCCCCCAGCGACCUCCUACCUGCAAACCUUGCACACGUCUGGAAGAAGACGGAGCCUUUACCCAUCAGACAUGUGCUUAGGGCAGAGUUUGGCUUCCUUCGCUUCUUCUGCCUCUUUAAAAGAAGACAUUUUCCUUUUGUUUGCAUCCAGCCAUUUCAUCCCCCUGCUAAUUUAGCUCAUUCGACCCACUGGGAACCGGGGACUCUUAAAGCAAAUGCGUCAACUCUGCUGAGUUCCAGUUGCCGGCCUCUGUCAAGUAAUUACGGGCUGUUCCAGUGGAGUGAGAAAUUUCAGCCUACUUGCUUUUCCCAGGUGGUCCACUUGUUAGGUUCUGGCUUUCGAGAUUACAUGCCUUGGAUUAAAUUUUAUGUACUUUUAUGUAGUGAAAUAAAAAGAGGAGCGCAGUUCCAUUUCAGCUCCUGCCCCAAAGGGGAACGCACUGCCCGGGCAGUAUAAAUCCCGAAUUGGUUCAUCGCCGGAUCGUUCGCCCGCGUCUCCUCCUGACGCUUAAACGGGGCGAUCCAGACUCCUCUCAUUUCGUGCACGCCGACCAACUGUCGCCCCAUUUUUUUUUCUUUAUUUUUUAUUGCUGCAAUUUGCUAACGCAAUCAGCGCUUAACUACGAGGCUAAAUUUUUAGAGCACCUUAUUUAAGCGUACGGCGUGGGUUUCUAUGCCCCGUGCAAUUUGCCGCUCGGCUAGUUUUUAGAUACGUUCCUUAUUUAAUCAUACGUCUUGCACAUUAAACAGUGGGUCCCCGCGUCUCUUUAGCAGACUGAAAUCUAAGGGGGAAAUUGUUCUCCCCCUCUACGCCUAAGUGUUGGUAGUGCUCAGGAGCAAUAAAGGGGAUUGUGCGUGGGGACAAUAUAGCCAUCCGCAGGUUUCUAGUCGUGUCAGCUCCAUCCAGGAAGUUCCUUGGCUGAUUUACUUUAUGUACUAUUAGAGGUAAGGAGCAGAGACAAAUGCUUAAUUGUAUCUUGAAAGCACCUUCCAGAUACUUUGCUUCUUUUAAUAACAUUUGCUUAGAUAAGCGUGCUAAAGAUUCGGCUGAACGUACGUGAUGGGGUAUGAAUGUGCUUGCUCAAAACUAGCAGCAGUUAGGUUGCAAACAGGGUGCCGGACCAGACGGGGGAAAGCAGCACUGUAGGGUAGCUUUUCUACUCCCAGCAGGAUAUUUUCUGACAAACCACUGUGCAAUUCAGGACUUGAAUUAUUGGCUGUUAUUGACAACCGCUUCCUUUCUAAAACACUUAAAAAGCGGAGUACAUACAACUGGGCACAAGAAGCAAAGACGUUUGCUGGCUCAGUGGUAAAGAUGAUGAACUUGUCUUGGAAAACCUUAUGCAGAUCCCUCCGAAACAUUGGCUCUUCAAUUUAUAAACGUUCUCUUAACCUCGGCCACGCGGUGCUGGACGCAAACCGCGGCUGGCACAGUGUCUGCUGCGUGACAUGGAGAAGGUUUAUGACCUCAAUACAAUCUCCCUGCGGCUCAGAACGGUUUGGUAGGAAGCUAUUGUACGCAGAUCAAUAGGGUUUAAAAUUUCCAGUGGAGUGAUUUAGGUUUGGCGUACCCGGUUUAAGACUGCUGAAGAAUGAGUCUAUGGGCUAAUGUAGACGAGUAACAGGUUGAUGAAGAAACCAUGAUGGUAAAAUGAUUUUUAAAAAUAAAUAAAUAAAUAAAUAAAAGCUUAAUUCCUUUUUUAAGUAAAUGUUCUAAGAGAUCAUAUUUAGAUUCAAAGUUUUAAUGCCUGGAAUUUUUUAUUUGGAAAAAAAAAAAAAAAGCA